This 503-nucleotide ribosomal RNA is filed under the name uncultured bacterium. RNAcentral's name for it is "partial 16S ribosomal RNA". It matches the Rfam family "Bacterial small subunit ribosomal RNA", at positions 28 to 523 of the family's 1533-position model. The record is from RNAcentral.
GAUGAACGCCAGCGGCAGGCCUAACACAUGCAAGUCGAGGGGUAGCAGGAUUGAGCUUGCUUAAUUGCUGACGACCGGCGCACGGGUGCGUAACGCGUAUGCAACCUACCUUAUACUGGGGUAUAGCCCGGAGAAAUUCGGAUUAAUCCCCCAUAGUACUAAUGAAUCGCAUGGUUUAUUAGUUAAAGCAUUGCGGUAUAAGAUGGGCAUGCGUCCUAUUAGCUAGAUGGUGAGGUAACGGCUCACCAUGGCUACGAUAGGUAGGGGGCCUGAGUGGGUGGUCCCCCACACUGGUACUGAGACACGGACCAGACUCCUACGGGAGGCAGCAGUGAGGAAUAUUGGUCAAUGGGCGCAAGCCUGAACCAGCCAUGCCGCGUGCAGGAAGAAUGCCCUAUGGGUUGUAAACUGCUUUUAUUUGGGAAUAAACCUCUUUACGUGUAGAGAGCUGAAGGUACCAAAUGAAUAAGCACCGGCUAACUCCGUGCCAGCCGCCGCGGUAA